AUUUAUAUGUAUUUUUGUGUAGUUGUGUCAUUUAUCCCUAUUAUCUGCUGCCCCUUGCGGCAUAGAUAAAGACGAGUGCGGCACAAUUAAAAAUAAGCAAGUGUAGUGGGUUCAUAAUGCAGGUUUGUUUGAAUUCUUUAAUUCUCAGCCGCCAGGGCGCGCCACUUUAGCGACACACUUUCUACAAGAGAAAAAGUCGUUACUAUAUAAGCCUUAUUCUAUGCUCCUUCCCGGGAGCAUCACAGGGAGUCGCUCCUCGCUCACGAUCCCUAGCGUAAAAAAAUAGUAUUCUUGAAUGAUAGGGAAUGCCAGUGAACACGCAGUCCCUGCAAGCACUGUUGCCAGCUUAUCUCACCAAUCAAAAUUGAGAAAAUAUUGACGGUCUGACAUGAUUGCCAACGUCAUUUAUUUCCUAUUGUGGCGGAACUCGUACCAACCUGCUGUUUUAAAAGAGACAGACAUCUAAGAAUCAUGUAUUUGUCUUUAUCUAAGCUAAGAAAGGGUCGUUUAUUCCGUCGUUUUCUGCUGUUUUUGUUUUUUUAAGCGUGGUUCAUUGCUUCUGUGCCCUAUUGAGCUUUUAGGAAAAAUGGAAUAGCACAAUAGCCAUUGCAAAUUGUGAAAAAUCAAGGCUGCUAUCGCUCAAGCAAAAGGAAUCGCUGCUAGAAUUUGUCCACAGCAGGUCCCAAAUGACAAGGCUUAUUCUCGUGUAGAAUCCUUAACGAAUGUAUAUUUAAUGAACAAUAAAACACCAUCUCCACCAACAAUGUA
This is a long non-coding RNA of Dendroctonus ponderosae (mountain pine beetle), 768 nucleotides long. RefSeq lists it as uncharacterized. Lineage: Eukaryota; Metazoa; Arthropoda; Insecta; Coleoptera; Curculionidae. The record is from RefSeq and is a predicted model, not a curated record. The transcript has 3 exons.